ACCCAGAUGACGAGUCUGAAAUAGGACGAUACGCGCGUUCUGGAU
This 45-nucleotide non-coding RNA is filed under the name Schistosoma mansoni. The record is from RNAcentral. Lineage: Eukaryota; Metazoa; Platyhelminthes; Trematoda; Strigeidida; Schistosomatidae.